AAAAAGAAAAAUAUAUUAUAUACAGAAAGAAAGAAAAAAUACUAUUUUGGCCUUCUGGUAUAUCUUAUCAUAGAGCUGUCAAUGAUGAAAUGGAUGCAGAUGAAACAUGGGACAAAUAUAAACUUAUCAAAAUCAAAUUUGAGAGUGAAUUAAUAUAUGAUGUACUGGAAAAAUAUCUGAUGGCACAUUUAAAGUGAAAAGUAAUGUUUAUGUUACCAGAUUUUCCGUUGCCUCCACCAGUUUUGCAAUCCAUACCAACAAAAUCAUUAAAGAGAUCAUUUGAUUUUAAUUUGUCACCUGGAUCAAUUAUUUUAAAACAAUCAAAUAUUUGUUCUGCUUUGCCAGACUCUUCACCUUUACACACAGAGGAACAAUCAACUUCGUAUUCUGAGUCACUGUCUUUGCCUAACUUUUUUUACCUUCAAAAUCAACUGAAAAGGAACAAUCAAAUUUUUUUUACAGGUGAAACCCUUAUACUCAAGAGUUCAAAAAAAAAGAAAACAAAAGAAGAAGUACAAAAAAAAACUAUGAUUGAAGCCCUUGGACCAAAGAAGUUAGUUAAAAAUCAGUUUCCUAUGGAAGUUGGAAAAUACCAGCAUAUGAUGUUCAAGAUGGUAUCAAAAAUUCUUGAAAAUCAGGAGCUAAUUAUUGCUGUAAAUAAACAACCCCAUAGGAAUUUGGCAGUUAAGCAUUUAGAGACUAUAGCAGAAUACAAAGAUUUUGUCAAAUAUUUAGAGGAUGAUUCAGUUCUCCUUGAUUAGGUUAAACAACUGAGUUUUUUAGGCGCAGAAGAUUAUAAACAGCUGACAAGAUUGGUUAUGAAUAGAUUAUUUACAAAUACCCUAUUGGCACAGUUUAAUUUAAUAGGUUCUGGUGGAAAAAUUGGUUUAUUAUCAACGAAGCUAUAUGAUGUAUUAGAAGGUUUUUACCUCCCCAAAGCUCAAGGGGGUCACUACAGUCGAGGAGGCUACUAAUUUUUUUAUUUUUUUUAUUUUUAUUGUAAAUCGUGGUACAACCCUCUCUCAACUCUUUAACUCCGAAACACGAACCUUGACAAGCAAGGCCGCUGCACGGAAAAAUUAAGUUGAGCGCGGUACUUACAGAGAUGCGGUGGGAGCCGAACUUCGAACCUCUUGCAUACAAAGCAUACAAAGCGAGCGCUCUUACCACUACACCACUGCCGCAUAAAUUAUGUGGCAAGUUUACAUUUUAUUAUUUGGCAAGUUUUUGUAAUUUUUAAUUUA
This is a non-coding RNA of Hydra vulgaris (swiftwater hydra), 1244 nucleotides long. Lineage: Eukaryota; Metazoa; Cnidaria; Hydrozoa; Anthoathecata; Hydridae. The record is from RefSeq and is a predicted model, not a curated record.